Molecule: ribosomal RNA, 253 nt
Filed under: uncultured bacterium
Lineage: Bacteria
Description: partial 16S ribosomal RNA
Rfam family: Bacterial small subunit ribosomal RNA
Source: RNAcentral
UACGUAGGGUGCAAGCGUUAUCCGGAAUUAUUGGGCGUAAAGAGCUCGUAGGCGGUUUGUUGCGUCUGCUGUGAAAACCCGAGGCUCAACCUCGGGCCUGCAGUGGGUACGGGCAGACUAGAGUGCGGUAGGGGAGAUUGGAAUUCCUGGUGUAGCAGUGGAAUGCGCAGAUAUCAGGAGGAACACCGAUGGCGAAGGCAGAUCUCUGGGCCGUAACUGACGCUGAGGAGCGAAAGCGUGGGGAGCGAACAGG